RNAcentral lists this ribosomal RNA (522 nucleotides) under uncultured Glomus. RNAcentral's name for it is "SSU rRNA". It matches the Rfam family "Eukaryotic small subunit ribosomal RNA", at positions 568 to 1092 of the family's 1831-position model. The record is from RNAcentral. Lineage: Eukaryota; Fungi; Glomeromycota; Glomeromycetes; Glomerales; Glomeraceae.
CAGCAGCCGCGGUAAUUCCAGCUCCAAUAGCGUAUAUUAAAGUUGUUGCAGUUAAAAAGCCCGUAGUUGAAUUUCGGGAUCAAUACGUCGGUCGUGCUUCGGUACGUACUGGCGUAAUUGAUUUCUCCCUUCUGACGAACCAUGAUGUCAUUAACUUGGUGUCAUGGGAAAUCAGGACUGUUACUUUGAAAAAAUUAGAGUGUUUAAAGCAGGCUCACGCUUGAAUACAUUAGCAUGGAAUAAUGAAAUAGGACGUUCGAUCCUAUUUUGUUGGUUUUUAGGAUCAACGUAAUGAUUAAUAGGGAUAGUUGGGGGCAUUAGUAUUCAAUUGUCAGAGGUGAAAUUCUUGGAUUUAUUGAAGACUAACUACUGCGAAAGCAUUUGCCAAGGAUGUUUUCAUUAAUCAAGAACGAAAGUUAGGGGAUCGAAGACGAUCAGAUACCGUCGUAGUCUUAACCAUAAACUAUGCCGACUAGGGAUCGGAUGAUGUUAAUUUUUUAAUGACUCAUUCGGCGCCUUACG